Molecule: long non-coding RNA, 5994 nt
Organism: Cyprinus carpio carpio
Lineage: Eukaryota; Metazoa; Chordata; Actinopteri; Cypriniformes; Cyprinidae
Source: Ensembl
UUCACUUUCACAUAUACAUGCAUCGAUGCUCCACAUUCCAGUUCAGAUGGUGGCGGUAAUGCACUAAUAAGCUAGUCUGCCAACCGCCAAUAAACGGAAAGAAGAAGAAGGAGAAGUCGCUUUGUGGGAGGCAUGUUUGAGUAAGUAAAACUCCUAUCUGCUUUAGUUUCAGGUUGAAGGCAGUGAAUGAGGAUCGUGUUUCACAUCAUAAAUCAUAAACUCACUGAUCCUCAAACACACAUCUGAUGUGCCUGAAUCUGGAUCAUAUUCUGUUACAGAAACAGAGUUAUUAUGACACAAACAGCUUCAUGAAGAAACCGGUUUUAGAGAAGAAGAAAGAGCGAUGCAUGGGUUUGAGAUGAGUUAUAUGAUGUACAAUGUUUAUAAUGAUCGAAAGGUCAACAUGAGAGUUUUACCAAAUAAAUAAUGUUCACAGCAUCGUCAUGUAAACUAAACAUGUUUUAGUAACAGCGAUCACUGCUGAUGGGGAUCUUUAUAAUGAGAGAGACCAGUUUGCUGUUGUCACGGUUGGUAAACCGUGAUCUCUGGGUGUUUGCACUUUGUGGUGAAGUCUGUGUGUUUCGCGUCUGCACUGAUUAGUUUGUGGGCGUCUCCGUUAAUUGUCAUCAGCAGCAGCUGUCACUCAUUACUCAUUCUAUAUAUAUUGGCUUGUCUCACGUCUUGUGUUUGUGAGAUCGUUGUUUUAUGUUGCUUACCCUGUUUGUUUGGCUUCAGUGUUGUCUGCGUUUGGAUGUUCGUGUUUUCCCGGAACCUCAUCCACUCUACGCACUUCCACUCAGCCACAAAUACUUACUUUCGGCUCUAUUCCCCGCAGUUCCUGUGCCAUCCUCUCCUGCUGCCUUCUCACCUUCAUCAUCCGGAUUCCUCACCACCUCACCACCAUCUUGGAUUGUUGUCUUCCCAGCAUCAUUGUCUUUUUCCUGUUUGUUUAUUUAUUUUCAUUAAAUCGUCUAACUCGCUAUUGUUUCCAGUCCUUCCUUCACCCCACCAUCACAGCUGUAACGAGACAGACUUUAUCUAAUAUCUCAUCACUUAAGAACAGUGCUACACUGGAUAAUGUGACUUUCUUUGAUGGUGUAGAAAGGGGAACUAUCUCUGCCUCAACUACUGUGAUGAGCAAUAACAGCAGCGUUAUUCAUCCUAGAAGCAAACCGUAUUUCAUGCCCAGAUACAUAGGCCCACACAUACUGUCAGGCUGGUCACAGUGUCAGGUUGAUAAACUCAUUCUGGAACUCAGACGUUUCUUCUCUUUUUUAGCUCAACACAAGAUAAUGAAAAAAACUAAAAGAAAUUCAUUCAUGGGAGAAGAUCUGUGGAGCAUCACAAACCGAAGGAGAAUUAAACGAAGAGAAAAAGAAAAAUGCCAAACAAAGAGAGCAAGAGACAAUCUACUGAACCAGGAGAGAAACAGACACAGAGACUAACCAGAACAAACAGCAUCAAAAGUGGAAAACCAAACUGUGAGUGUUUAUGAUAUUUAAUAUAAAACAAUAUAACAUGUCUUUCAUCAAUACAUAAUCUACAAUAGCUUUAAUAUUUAUCCACUAUAUAAAAACUACAAGGAUAAUCAGAUGAUUGUGUUUUUAAAGUCUAGUUUCUGAUGAUCCAGACAGUUUUAUUCAGAGAGACUCUCAGACGAGGUGAGAUUCUCACUGAUCACACACACACACACACACACACACACACACACACACACACACACACACUAAUAACACUCAGUCCUUACACUGACAGUGUGUGUACUGUAUUAUACUGACAGUUACUGUAUGUGUGUGUUAUAGUUCUGAGAGUGUUUUCUCUUCAGACAGGAGCAGCUUCUUUCACCGGACCAGCAGAAUAUACUUUAUAUUCACUGAUUACAGUUUUUUACAAUCAUUUUGCAAUAAUAACAGAACCAUCUUGUAAUUUUUCAAAAGACACAAAACAUUAUUUGUAACACAGGCUGCCCAUUAUCCAAAACUUUACAUAUUGUGUUCAUAUCUUUAAAGAAGCCUUUUAUUUGCAGAAGAAAAAAAAUAAAUAAAUUGUUUUGGUUAGAUACCCAUAGUUUCACUGUAUUUGUUAUUACAAUCAUUAAAUAGAGUUGAAAAAAAUAUGUGAUCCAGGUUUCAUUAUUGUACUGUAGAUUAGGGAGAAUAGUACAGACACAGUGGUAUCAUUGAAUUACUGUAAUGUGAAAUUUACAGAUGAAAUAAAAAAUCACAACAUAGGUUUUCCAAAUUAAAAAAAAAUUGAUAAAAAAGAAAAAAAAACAAUAAUGUACUGUAAACUUAAGUGUUCCAUUAGAGGAUGAUGAAACUGAACAUUAUCCCAAACUAUUACGUAGGUCACACCAUCAGCUCUACAGAUCUGAUUUAGCUCCUCAGGGAAGGCUAUGAGGUGAGCUGCAUUAUAUGACCCAACACGAGGUCUGCGUCCAGCCACUCCAUCUUCUGAUAUAACUGCACACAUGGUGACCUCUCCUCCACGUCUUGGCCAGAUUAAAGCCUGCCUUAUCCAAAAAUAUGAAUUUGUGAUGGUUUUCCUCAGCAUCCAGCUCCAUCACCCUCUAAAAAGACAAAGAUAUGUCAUCACCUUUAUUUAUAUAGCACUUUUAACAGUACAGAUUGAGUUAAAGCAACUGUACAGCAUUAAUUAGGAAAAUAGUGUGUCAAAAAUGCAGAAGGACAAUAGAAAACACUAAUUUUUCAGUUAAAGGCAGUUCAUCUUUGAAUUCAGUGAUGUCAUCAUGCAGCUCAGUUCAGUUUAAAUAGUAUCUGUGCAAUCAUUUGCAAUCAAGUCAAUGAUAUCGCUGUAAAUAAAGUGUCCCCAACUAAGCAAGCCAGAGGCGACAGCAGCAAGGAACCAAAACUCCAUCAGUGACAGAAUGAAGAAAAAAACCUUGGGAGAAACCAGGCUCAGUCGGGGGCAGUUCUCCUCUGACCAGACGAAACCAGCAGUUCAAUUCCAGGCUGCAGCAAAGUCAGAUUGUGCAGAAGAAUCAUCUGUUUCCUGUGGUCUUGUCCCGGUGGUCGUCUGAGACAAGGUCUUUACAGGGGAUCUGUCUCUGGGGCUCAUCUAGUUGUCCUGGUCUCCGCUGUCUUUCAGGGCUCUAGAGGUCCUUUCUAGGUGCUGAUCCACCAUCUGGGCUGGAUACAUACUGGAUCCGGGUGACUGCAGUGACCCUCUGACCUGGAUACAGACUGGAUCUGGUGGCUACGGUGACCUCGGAAUAAGAGAGAAACAGACUAAUAUUAGCGUAGAUGCCAUUCUUCUAACGAUGUAGCAAGUACAUCGGGUGUUAUGGGACGUGUUCCCGGUUCCAGUUGUAAUAAUUAAUUCAGCCUAAAAAUCCUUUAACCACGUUCCUGGAGGCCUCCCACCACUGCAGGUUUUCUAUGUCUCCUUAAUCAAACACACCUGAUUCAGAUCAUCAGCUCAUUAAUAGAGAAUCCAAUCAGUUUUCAUAAAAGCUGUGCAUCGAGAGUAAUGCAACAGUUACUCAACAUUUUCAGCAACUGUAUCAAUUGAUUAGUUAGAUCUUUGUAAAGAAAUGAAUAGACACUCCACUUAGAUGUAAUUUGUAAAUGAGUUACAUUAGCCUACAUUACAAAUUACAAAUUACAUUACAAAUGAUAUUUGGCUUAAAUGUAUCCAAGCAUUUGAAAAAAAGUGUUAAGUGUUUUGAAAAAUGUGCAUUUUAAUCAUUGGUUGUGAAUUAUGUGUCUAAAGUUUUAAAAAAUGACAUGAAGGUUCUGUUAUUAGUGCAAACAUGAUUGUAAAAAAACCUGUAAGCAUUGUAUAUUUUAUAUUGUUUAUAUUUUAUUGUUAUUAUAUAAUAAGAAAUUUUAGACCUGUAUAAUCAAGCCCUAUCAGUUUUAUUCACUGUAAAAAAUAUAUAUAUAUUUUUCAAUGUUGUCACAUGGGCUUUUGUGUUUGUUUUAAUUUGUGUUUUUUGACCUAGUUUCUGUCUUCCAUUAAUUGUGUCAUUAUUCAGGUGUGUCUUGUCAAUUAUCCUCAUUUACUCUCCCAUAUAACUUGUAGUCAGUCCAGUGUUUCUUUUUGCGGAAGUGAUGCAAAGUCCGAUUCUUUUCCGCGAACCGGUUCUUUUUUGAACAGAUCGGCUCAUUGAACCGGUUCAAAAAGCAGAUUCAUCGGUUCCUAACGUCAUCAAGCAAUAACGUCACUACGCAUUUCUUUUCUAACAUCUUUUAGUGCCAUGUUGUAUCAAUGAAAAUUUCAAAUACGUAAUUUGUGUAAACACAUAUUGAAACAUUUAAAAAUAUAAAGUUAUUUGUGUUAAAGCAUAAUGCUGAUUGAUGCCAUAAUUCAUGGUGUUUGUGGUCACAGUUUCAUUCGCGGAUCCUUUGUCAGAUAUGACUGACUGACCAGUAUUGACUAGCCUACGACUUGGAUAUGAUUCCUAUAAGUUUCACACCUACAGCACACAUUACAGAUUCACAAACGCGGAUACAUGUCUACAGUAUAAAGAAUGAAUAAACCAGUCUUAUAAACUCCUUGAUUUCGCUGAAGCAACUAUAUACUAUAUAUAAUAUAUAUAAUACAAUACUAUAUAUAAUAUACAUGCACAAUAAACUAUUGUAAAAUUUAUUUACAUCACUCAACAGAAAGGUCAUAAUAAGCAUAUUUCCAGACUUGCACAGUGCCGUCAACUCACUCAUCAGAAUCUUCGGUAAUCCUCGGCAAACUUCGCCACGGCUCAUUCGGUUCUUAUUGAGUCCUCGGUAAUCCUCGGCAAACUUCGACAGUUGGUUGAACCGGCUCAUUCGGUUUUUUGAAUUGGACGUGCUACUUCGGAUGUGUGUCCUGUGUCAUCAACCCGGAACUAAAGUUCGAUUCAGUUCGAAUGAGAUCCGGCUCAAAAGAACGAUUCGUUCAAGAACCGAACAUCACUAUUGUGCGGUCUCCUCAACAUGACUUCCUGUUCUGUCUCCUCAACGUGACUUCCUGUUGUGGAUUACCUUGUGUGGAUAAUAUUAAAGACUUUUUCGUUCAUUUUCAUGCGAAUUCAUUCUACACAGAAUCGUGACAUUAAUAUAACAAAUUAUUGAAGUGCAUUUAGCCUACAAGAAAAUACUAUUUCAGUUUCUUUAAUUUUUCACAAUGUCAUGUUUAAUUUACCUUUUUUCAGUUAUUUCUGAAAUAAACUAGAAAUUUCUGAGUGAAAAUUGUUCUACUCUAAUUGUUUUUCAGUGCAGAUAUGACUGACAGUAGCUUAUAAAAUAAAUGUGUAAAAAUGGGUUUUGUGUUUUCUGAAAUAAUCUUAUUGCUGAUAUCAUAGCUUUUUACUCUACAAUGCAAUACAAUACAAACAAAACAAAGCUUCUUUCUAUACAUAAUGCUUUUUAAAUAUUAUUUAAACUAUUAUUACAUUUCAUAUUGAUAAAAAUGUGAAUAUUUAUGUUUUUAAGAAUUGGCUUUUGGAAAAUUGGCUUUUACUGUAACAAAUUCACAGUUCUUAUAAAAAUAUUUUUCUUAUCUAUUUUUGAAUUUUGCUGUAUUGUCUAUUUUAAUAGACAAGUGAGAGGGAGUUCAUCAUCAGAAUGGCUAUUAAAGUAUGGUUAAUAUAUUAUUAUAUAAAUCAAUUUUAAUAUAACUUGCGUCUAUUUGACUAGAAAAAUCUUUAGUAGAGAGCAGGCCUACUUAGCACAAGGAAGCGCUCCAUUUUUAUGCUCCAUAAAAUGCAUAAUGACAUUACGAAAAGUGCGACAGCAGCAAAUCACGUCAUUGUACUGCAUGAGUUAUGCAUGCAUAAGGAGUCAAAUGUUUUUCACCCUAAUUAGAUUAUGAAGAAUGAUUUGUUGAUCAUGUUUUCCCUUUAAUUCAUGCCUUCCGCAAUAUAUUUUUCAAUUAGGCUACUUUAAAAAAGUGGUAGGGACAAUAUCGACCCUGGCAAAAAGUGGUGGGGACAUGUCCCACCUGUCCCACCCGCAUAUUAUGCCUAUGAUCGUUAGUAUUUAAUAAAUUACCAGU